UGCUAAUACAUGCAAGUCGAGCGGACAGAUGGGAGCUUGCUCCCUGAUGUUAGCGGCGGACGGGUGAGUAACACGUGGGUAACCUGCCUGUAAGACUGGGAUAACUCCGGGAAACCGGGGCUAAUACCGGAUGGUUGUUUGAACCGCAUGGUUCAAACAUAAAAGGUGGCUUCGGCUACCACUUACAGAUGGACCCGCGGCGCAUUAGCUAGUUGGUGAGGUAACGGCUCACCAAGGCAACGAUGCGUAGCCGACCUGAGAGGGUGAUCGGCCACACUGGGACUGAGACACGGCCCAGACUCCUACGGGAGGCAGCAGUAGGGAAUCUUCCGCAAUGGACGAAAGUCUGACGGAGCAACGCCGCGUGAGUGAUGAAGGUUUUCGGAUCGUAAAGCUCUGUUGUUAGGGAAGAACAAGUACCGUUCGAAUAGGGCGGUACCUUGACGGUACCUAACCAGAAAGCCACGGCUAACUACGUGCCAGCAGCCGCGGUAAUACGUAGGUGGCAAGCGUUGUCCGGAAUUAUUGGGCGUAAAGGGCUCGCAGGCGGUUUCUUAAGUCUGAUGUGAAAGCCCCCGGCUCAACCGGGGAGGGUCAUUGGAAACUGGGGAACUUGAGUGCAGAAGAGGAGAGUGGAAUUCCACGUGUAGCGGUGAAAUGCGUAGAGAUGUGGAGGAACACCAGUGGCGAAGGCGACUCUCUGGUCUGUAACUGACGCUGAGGAGCGAAAGCGUGGGGAGCGAACAGGAUUAGAUACCCUGGUAGUCCACGCCGUAAACGAUGAGUGCUAAGUGUUAGGGGGUUUCCGCCCCUUAGUGCUGCAGCUAACGCAUUAAGCACUCCGCCUGGGGAGUACGGUCGCAAGACUGAAACUCAAAGGAAUUGAC
This 887-nucleotide ribosomal RNA is filed under the name Bacillus sp. (in: firmicutes). RNAcentral describes it as "bacterial SSU rRNA". It matches the Rfam family "Bacterial small subunit ribosomal RNA", at positions 45 to 914 of the family's 1533-position model. Lineage: Bacteria; Bacillati; Bacillota; Bacilli; Caryophanales; Bacillaceae. The record is from RNAcentral.